CUCCUCUCGCUCGGUGGUUGCGUAGGUGUCUCGCUUCCUCCGCUCGCUCCCUCCCUCCCGCGGCUGCCUCGAGCGCUCCCCCCUCCCUUCGGCCCUCCAUCUGGCCGUCCCCCCUUCUCUGCCCCCCUCCCCGUGCUCGCCGCCUCCUCUCUGCCAGCUCGAGCGAGCCAGCGGCGCGCUGCCUGCUUAUUCAGCCCGGCAGAAUCCCUCGGCCUGCAGCAGUGGCAGGAAGACGGGGGACCCCGCCAAAAUUGCCCACUUCCCGCGCAAGCCGAGAGCCGCCGUGCGAGAGGGAGUGCGAGAGAUUGAUGCACAUUCAUGCGCUUCCCUCACGAUGUCGAAUUUUAAGCACAUCGCGGGACACGCAGACGUGCCCUUUGAAGUUUCCGGGGAGGGGGAAAGCAAUGGCUAAAGGCCCCCCUCUGGGAUAUGGCAAAGCUUAAAUGGCAAAAACAAAGCUUCUGCAGGAAAAGCAAAUAUUAACCCUCGCCAAACCCCACAACGAAAUUUUAAAAGCGUUUGUUGUGACGGGGUUGGCAUAUACCUCCUCAGACCUAAAUGCAGGAUGAUUUGAAAGAAGGAUCACUCGUGGCCAGGAACAAACUGCGAGGCUGGUUUGUGCACUUCAUUGCUAAGAGAUGUGCCCCAUAGACAAGGCAUCCCUGGAGCUAGGGAGGGUCAAGUCCGUGCCCAGAGUGCAAUACUGGUGGCCCACCAUUUGGACCCAGAGACAAGGUCACUCAGCCUUGGGAUAUUCUGGAGUGUGGCCUUCUGUGCACAUGGGGUGGGAAAAGCAUUCAUAGAGGUGGGUGGAAAUUUGGGGUGGAACAGCCUUGCAGCCAUAAUAGUUCCAUGAGGAAGAUGGGCGCAGGGAUCAAGGGGGCACCUUGGGCUGGGGGAACAAGCUGCUUUCCCCCUUAUAAUUCUAUAAUUCUCAGCUGUGUUUGACUCAGAAUGGGCUCAUUACGAUUUCUGUCAAUAUAACCCAGAAGGGCGAUGACUACAUUAUAUUAGGAUACAGGGUGUGAGCCCCCAUAUUUUUGUUUACACACACAACUUACCACAGCUUCCGAACAGAACAAGCAGGCAAUACCUGACAGCACUUGCCCAAACCUGAUGUCCUAGGAGGAUGGCAUAGCAACCGACGAGAUGGUUCCACUGCUCUCAACACAGGGUCUAUCUGCAAAUGGAGGGAGUAGCCAUAGAGAAGGUGCCCGGCGUUGUUGCUGAUUAUGAAGCAUGACCAGGAAAGAGAAUUGAUGUCAUCGCAGUUCUUCAUCUUCACCUAUCAUACAAUUGGCCAGUGAUGAGUCCAACAUGCACUCUGUCUGAAUUUCAUUUUGCAACAUCCAUACACUGCAAAGUGGAUAGGUAAUAUAUAACCUGAGUUUUCGAUGGAGAGGUUCCCAGUACCACACACCAAGAGCGUCUUGCUUCUUCCCAAGAUGCAGUCCUGGAUUCAAAACUCUGCCUCCUGCUUGUCACAUUACUUCUACCUUCUAAGCUUUUGGCCCACAUUGCUUCCUCUCGCUCUUCUCUUAAGCUUUUGGCUUUAUCUCCUAAGUGAAAGGGCCCCCACCUCUCUGCCAUCUCUCAAAGAGUUUCUUUGAUGCUUUGUAGUCCUAAUGGCCCAUUCCUCAGGUGACUACCUCAACACAGGAAGCUUAGACAAGCUUAAUUAGCCCUAAAUACAUGCUAAUUCCAGAAGAUUUAGAAGCGUCUAAUACAUGGGCUUAAAUACACACAGGCGUAGCAGUUUUAACACUGAGCCUUAAUUAGAUUCGGAUGCCUACUGAACCCAAUAAUUUAGGGUUUAGCACCCACAAACUUACAAAAUCAGGUUACUAAUAUUGUAACCUGAUGCCUAUCUUUGAUUAAAUUCUUCAGUAGCCCCAUACAGAAGAUCCAUGUAAUCUUCUUCUGAAAUGUGCAUGAAUAUACAUCAGCUUCAUUUCUGAUGCCCCCAAACAUCAAGAAGCAUAGAAUUAAAUCUCAUGGACUCAUAACCUCAUCAUAUUCCUUAAUGGCAGAUGUUGUAGGCAUGGGCAGACGCUAUGCUUGUGGGAUUUGUUUUUAUAAAAACUUGAGUUCCACCAAGCAGCGCUAGGUACAAAGUAGUGGUUGGCAGAGGCAGAAAAAUGGUUUCUCAAGUGGUGGAAGCAAGUGCAAUGGGAACAGGAACCGGGUGCAAGAAAGCAGACCUCCAGACCAUUCUCCAGAGAAGGAGCGAUGACCUGAUCUGCCAGAAUGCCAUGAUUGACCUUUCCUGCUCUUCAGGUUAUGUUGCAGGACACUCUUGAGAGAGGGUGCCUCCCACUAUACUUCGUAGGCAGGGUCUCCAGGCAGAAGAGUGGCACUCGAGACCAAACCAGCAGAGCCAAAAUAAGCUCCUCAACCCCAUGAUGAACAUGUUCACCCCACCUCUGGAAUCUCAGGAACCAUGUAGAAAACUGUAACAAGGUGUGGGGUGAAGAAAACAACCUCAGGACAAGCAAAGGCACGAAAUAGCAUGUGCUAUAUGACAAGUAACCAAGGCAAAGAAUCAGAAAAACAAUUCUAGUAGGGAGCAGAGGACAACAAACUAGAGAAGGGGAGAUAACAUAAGGAAAAAAGAACAGUGAUAAGUUGCAGGAAAUAAUCAAUCAGAUAGAUCCGCCCCCUGCCCCAAGACAAGAAAGAAAAGGGUACGUCUGGAGGGAAGGACAAUUCCACCUGGAAAAGGACUUGAAUAGCUUGAAUCAUAGAAUGGGAAGGGACCAUGAGGAUCAUUUAGUCCAGCCCCCUGCGAUGCAGGAAUAUUUCACGCAAUGUGAGGCUCCAACCCACAACCCUGAGAUUAAGCGUCUCAUGAUCUACUGAGCUAUAGAUGAACAGUUCCAAGGAGCCUCCCUACCAAGGAUCAUCCUCACUACAGAAUGUCCUCUGGCCUAAUCUGGCAAAAAUGUAAUUAUACUAGUCCUCACUGCUUUGCAAUCCAGCAAUGGUAAUGAGUGUUGGAGCAGAUUUCCAUGUGUGCUUAUCUUGCUGAAGCUGAAGAUGCAGGCUGGAUGUGCAAGUUAUGUGCCCUUGUUGAUUCAACAAUGAGACAUGGAGCUUCAAGUCCUUCACUGAUCAAGGU
Molecule: long non-coding RNA, 3118 nt
Organism: Podarcis muralis (Common wall lizard)
Lineage: Eukaryota; Metazoa; Chordata; Lepidosauria; Squamata; Lacertidae
Source: RefSeq, a predicted model, not a curated record